CCGCAAGGCUCUAAGAUGGCUGUGACUUUGGGUCCCAGAUCCUCAGUACGGGGUGGUCAUUGCGGCACCCGAAAACCAUGAGCCUGAGGGGACUCCUCAGUCUCAAACUGUAGCUGCACUGCUGUCCUGCAGGCUCUGCUGAAACUAGAGUAUCAAAGUCCCUGGAGAAGUAGGUGCACCACAUGCCCUACCAGGAGUCCUGAGCCAAGCUGUGCGGGACAAAGAGCACUGUCUUCGAACUGCUCCCAUGAAAGAAGGAUUCUUUCCAAGGAUCUUCAUCACUGUUAUCAGGAUCUCCAUCAUCUCCUACCUCCCUACCACCCCGUGUUUGACUUUGGUGACAGCAACGAAGGACAAGUACUGCUGUCCCAGUAUGGAUAUAGCCUUCAGAACCUUCGCAGGGGUGCCCCUAGGAAGCAAGAGGAGGGCACAGCUGUGGGUGGCACCCCUGGGGUAUCCCAAAUGGGGAGGAGGGGCAGGAUGAAAAGGCAACUGCCCUGGUUGGCAGAAGAGAGCUUAGCAGUGGACCUAGGCAAAGAGAGACCAUGCCAACCACAGAUGUUUGUGGUGCUGGGUCACAGCUGGGCAGCACAGAGGACAUACCUCCGUCCAGCCCUGAGGUUCCACUACGGGUUUCAGCUGCAGUGCACCCUUUCUGAGGCUUCAUGGCAAACCCAGAAGCCAGGCGAGAGGCAGGCAGGAGGGGGUGAAAAAGAAAAAAAGAGGAGCCUUUCGUUAAUCCAAACUUGGAAGGGCACGAGAGUUCAAAGCGGGACCUGAAUUGUCCCUCUGUUUGCUUAUCUACUGGCCUGCUAGAGGGACUGGGCCAGAAUCCGAAAAUAUCUGUUUACCCAGAGGGAUCAGCAGAGAAACUGAAAUUAUUUAUCUGGCUGGCUAGGUGAUGAAGGUCUGCAGAGAUCAGUACUGAACCUGAAAUUGACUGUCAGCCCGUCUGUGCUUCACCAGGACAAGGGCCCAGAGGGAUCAGCACAGGAUUCAAAAUUACGUGUCUUUUCACACCUCAGCCUAUUUAACUUUCCCAGGUCCGAGACAUGAAGCAGGCCAGCAGAAACAUGAAGUGCAUCUCUCAGAUGGGGGAUCAGCCUGCUCUUGAGCGGUAUAAAAUGCUACGAGUUGUCAGAGCAUCAGUGCAGUUGUCGAAGACUUUAUGGUUUACAAGGGAGUUGCUAAAACAUACU
This 1199-nucleotide long non-coding RNA is filed under the name Calidris pugnax (ruff). Its description in RNAcentral is "lncRNA (ENSCPUG00000002881.1)". The record is from RNAcentral. Lineage: Eukaryota; Metazoa; Chordata; Aves; Charadriiformes; Scolopacidae.